This 253-nucleotide ribosomal RNA is filed under the name uncultured bacterium. RNAcentral describes it as "partial 16S ribosomal RNA". It matches the Rfam family "Bacterial small subunit ribosomal RNA", at positions 524 to 776 of the family's 1533-position model. The record is from RNAcentral.
UACGGAGGGAGCUAGCGUUGUUCGGAAUUACUGGGCGUAAAGCGCACGUAGGCGGCUUUGUAAGUUAGAGGUGAAAGCCCGGGGCUCAACCCCGGAAUUGCCUUUAAGACUGCAUCGCUUGAAUCCAGGAGAGGUGAGUGGAAUUCCGAGUGUAGAGGUGAAAUUCGUAGAUAUUCGGAAGAACACCCGUGGCGAAGGCGGCUCUCUGGGACGGUACUGACGCUGAGACGCGAAAGCGUGGGGAGCGAACAGG